GGCCAGUGCAUUUUCAGAACACCACAGAGAUGGUCAGGAGCAACAGGAGUCUGGCACAGGUUCUGGACAAGACCCAAAGUCCAAACACACAUCUAGCCUUUGUGAGCAAGAUGGCUCUCACGCGGUCAGAUUUUUGGAGUUUGGGUUUGGCUAAUGACAUGGAUGGGAUGAUCCUGAACAGCUGUCUUAAAGUUAUUGAGAAG
This is a long non-coding RNA of Gymnodraco acuticeps, 203 nucleotides long. RefSeq lists it as uncharacterized. The record is from RefSeq and is a predicted model, not a curated record. NCBI's taxonomy places the organism in Eukaryota, Metazoa, Chordata, Actinopteri, Perciformes, Bathydraconidae. The transcript is spliced from 3 exons.